UUGGUAUGCCUGUUCUGUUGCCCGCUCUGGCUCUGGUGAAUUCUCUCACUGCUGCAGGGGGCCUUGCUGCCCCAGCCAAGUAAGACACUGGCAAGCAGCUAAGAAAAGGGCCUCACACCGUGGGGCUGAAGAUUAAACAUCCCUUUGUUUUUUGUUCUUGGUCAUAAAAAAGAAAAAACUUCAUGGACUAUACAUUGGUCAAUAAAUUAAAUGUAUAAGAAUAUUGUAAGUACGUGGCAUGGAAAAAUACUUGCUUAAAAAUUAAACACUGAAUAAUUUGGCCCACUUGACAAUGGGAAAUAAUUACUGUGCUAGGGCAUGUCUGAUAAGCAACCCAGAGCUGGUCAUAAUAAUAUUCCUCAUAUGGAAGUUCCGUAGAGAAGCCUUGUAAUGAAUCACGAAGUUGAUUACGCUAGGAGUUUCUAGGUAGAAAAGUUCUAACAACUGAUUACCGGGAAGCAACUGGUUUCUAGCUGCAGGCCAUAUAGAUAGAGGAGUCUCCUGAUAUUGUAGCCUCUGCAAUAGGUCAGUACCAAGGACUGUUAGCUGACCUAGGUAGUUGUUUAGGCUGAAAUAAUAAGUCUAAAUUUUAAUUAUCUAUUAACUUUUAAGGUCAUUUCGUUUCUCAAAACACAUAGGCGCCAAAAUGUCUAUGGGAAAGGAAUGUACUGAUUGUUUUUGUUUUGCUUCUAUGCAUAAAAUGAUGUAAUCCCAUCUCUUGCCUUAAUGUAUAAAUAAAGACCUGCUGAGACCCUCAGCAGGAGACACUUCAACAUAGGAGUGUGUGUGUCUGCCUCACUCCCCUUCCCUUCAGCCCUUAAAGUUUUGCCUAGGCUGUCUCAUCCUUUCAGGGACACCUGAGCCGACAUUUUGCCGAAAGCUGGUCUUCAACAAGUGGCGCCUGGAACAGGGACCUGAAAGCAGGCCUGCCCUGAACCCUCCCAUCCCCUGGCCACACCCCAGUGUGCUUUCCUCUGGGUGACUUCCUGCUCUGGCUGUUUGAGGCCUGUUCUCAGUUGGUGUCCCAGGGCCAGCUGAGAUCUGAGGAUGCUCUAAGCUCAACUCCCUGAAACCCCCAUCUCCUGUCAGCAUCAAAGCUCAAGGCUGGGACCCCAGACUCCAGGUCCAGGAGAGGGAUGACUUAGAGGACACAGAACACCCUCCCAGUGAACAACAACACUGAACUGCAACCAAAAACGAAGGAUGAGCCACAGAACUCCAAUUCUUCUAGCAGCACUGCCCAGGAUGCACCCCUGAUUGAUCCCAGAGGACACAGGUUUUCUCCAUCAAAAAACCAGAAUUCAGCUACAAAGAUGUUACCUGUCCUACGGCGAAUAAUUAUGUCUACAACCCUAGGGGAGAUGACCCAACUUCAACCUGACAAAAUAAAGAAGUAUAAGGAAGGCCAGAAUAAGCCACUGGACUGUGAUUCUGGUCACAUUCUGGACAAAACCUUGAAAAAUCUGGAACCUGCCCCAAAACAGAUGCCUUCUUCAUCAACCUGUCUUCUUCUAUGGAUCCUUUCCUUCUGGAAUGCAACUUUGUUUGGAGAAGGGUAUAGAGAGCUGGCCAUGAAUCCUUCACAGGGAAGAUUUGGAAGUUCCGAGAACCCAGGUGGAUGGCAGAACAGGGAUAGAAGGUCUCAGCGUCAACAGAAUAUGAUCUUGAUUUUGGUUUCACUUCUCAUCCCAAGGACUCCUGACACAACAUUUUGCUGAGGCUGGUCGUCGACAAGUGAGCCCGAACAGGGACCUGAAAGUUGUGAUCCCAAGUGUCCGCCGCAUAUUUGCUAAGGAACGUGAAGACCAGCAGAAGCAGAAAUCAAACAAAGAAAGUGAGAACCACAAUGAUUCUGAUCUCCAGCAACAUAGACAGUCUUCUCCUUUGAGUGGGGCUGACAAGGUGAAGUCAGGUGACCCACUGGCAACCUUGAGAAGGCUGGUUGAUGACCUAAAACUUAUGGAUACUAAAUCAUCUGAAGCAAUUGCACACCCUGAGGACCAUCCACAGCUGUCAUCGCACUCGACCCAAACGGAUGAGAAACUCAAACAGUCCAAGUUCCUGCAGCUUGAUAUGGAAGCACUCAGUCUUGUGUUGGACCUCUCACGUGACCCGGAUAAGAAAAAAAUGGCUCAUGUCCUAGAAGUUGUAAUUUCUAUAGCAACUGAAGCAAUUGCGCACCAUGAAGACCACCCACAGCAGUCAUUGCACUUGACCCAAACGGGUGAGAAACUCAAAAAGUCCGAGGUCCUGCGGCUUGAUAUGGAAGCAAUCAUCUCUAAAUUGGACCGUGUAGAUGACCUGGAUACGGAACAAUUGCUUGAAACCCUAGAAGUUAAUAUUUCUACAUCAAUUCCAGUUAUGAAGGAACUUGCCCGCCGCCUUCAUGCCGAGUCAGGUGAAGACCAGGAGAAGCUGACCUCAAACACGAGAAAAGGAAGUGAGAAACACGUCCAUCGUGGAUUCUGAUCCCCAGCAACAUACACAGUCUUCUCCUUUGACUCAGGCUGACAAGGUGGAGUCGCAUGACCCGGGGACAUGCUUGCGACAGCCGGCUGAUGACCCAAAAGCUAUGGAUUCUCUAUCACGUUGAUACAGUUAACAAGUUUGUCUUUCCCCCAUUUCCUGCAGUCCCCCCUCAUCUGGCAUUAACAAGAUUAGUAGCUUGUCUUUCCCCAUUUGUUGCAGCUUCCCCUCCCCUUAAGAAGAAAAACAAACUGGUGCCCACUGGUUUCCGUGCAGACCCUUCCCCCUCCCCUGAAUGAAAACAGGCCAGCAAUCACCUGUCUCCCGUGCUGACCCCUUCCCCUUCCCUUGGGAGAUGAAUGAGCUGACACCCUUCCGUCUCCGUGCAGACCCUUUCCCCGUCUCCACACUGACCCUGUCCCCCUCCCCUUGAUGAAAACCAGCUGGGACCCAUCCAUCUCCUUGUGGAGCUGGCGCCCACUUGUCUCCCUAUGGACCCCUUCCCGCGUCCCUUCGCGGACCCCUGCCCAUCUCUCCCCCUUGUAUAAAUACCCCUGCCCGCUGCCAGAGAGCAGGACGGUGGUCUUUCAGACAUGAGCCUGCUGCCCUCCUCAUUUGUCGACAAAUAAAACCGCUUUCCUUUU
Talpa occidentalis (Iberian mole) is the source of this 3110-nucleotide RNA transcript. RefSeq lists it as uncharacterized. The transcript has 12 exons. Lineage: Eukaryota; Metazoa; Chordata; Mammalia; Eulipotyphla; Talpidae. The record is from RefSeq and is a predicted model, not a curated record.